This 390-nucleotide ribosomal RNA is filed under the name uncultured bacterium. Its description in RNAcentral is "bacterial SSU rRNA". It matches the Rfam family "Bacterial small subunit ribosomal RNA", at positions 29 to 399 of the family's 1533-position model. The record is from RNAcentral.
AACGAACGCUGGCGGCGCGCCUAAUACAUGCAAGUCGAGCGAGAAGGUGUAGCGAAUACACUUGUAAAGCGGCGAACGGGUGAGGAAUACAUGGGUAACCUACCCUCGAGUGGGGAAGUAACUAGCCGAAAGGUUAGCUAAUACCGCGUACGCUUCCGGGACUGCGGUUCCGGAAGGAAAGCGGAUACUGUGAGUAUCGCGCUCUUGGAUGGGCUCAUGUCCUAUCAGCUUGUUGGGUGAGGUAACGGACUCACCAAGGCUUCGACGGGUAGCUGGUCUGAGAGGACGAUCAGCCACACUGGCACUGCGACACGGGCCGAGGACUCCUACGGGAGGCGAGUCAGUGGGGGAAUCUUGCGCAAUGGGCGAAAGCCUGACGCAGCGACGCCG